Molecule: ribosomal RNA, 253 nt
Filed under: uncultured bacterium
Lineage: Bacteria
Description: partial 16S ribosomal RNA
Rfam family: Bacterial small subunit ribosomal RNA
Source: RNAcentral
GACGAACCGAGCGAACGUUGUUCGGAAUCACUGGGCUUAAAGGGCGCGUAGGCGGGUGCUCAAGUCCGGGGUGAAAUCCCACAGCUCAACUGUUGAAUUGCCUCGGAUACUGGGCGUCUCGAGGGUGGCAGGGGUAUGCGGAACUAUCGGUGGAGCGGUGAAAUGCGUUGAUAUCGAUAGGAACUCCGGUGGCGAAGGCGGCAUACUGGUCCACUUCUGACGCUGAGGCGCGAAAGCCAGGGGAGCGAACGGG